GUUGACCUCGGAUCAGGUAGGGAUACCCGCUGAACUUAAGCAUAUCAAUAAGCGGAGGAAAAGAAACCAACCGGGAUUACCUCAGUAACGGCGAGUGAAGCGGUAAGAGCUCAAAUUUGAAAUCUGGCCCCUCCGGGGUCCGAGUUGUAAUUUGCAGAGGAUGCUUCGGGUGCAGCCCCCAUCUAAGUUCCCUGGAACGGGACGUCAUAGAGGGUGAGAAUCCCGUAUGGGAUGGGGUGUCUGCGUCCGUGUGAAGCUCCUUCGACGAGUCGAGUUGUUUGGGAAUGCAGCUCUAAAUGGGUGGUAAAUUUCAUCUAAAGCUAAAUAUUGGCCGGAGACCGAUAGCGCACAAGUAGAGUGAUCGAAAGAUGAAAAGCACUUUGAAAAGAGAGUUAAACAGCACGUGAAAUUGUUGAAAGGGAAGCGCUUGCGACCAGACUCGCCUACGGGGUUCAGCCGGCUUUCGGGCCGGUGUACUUCCCCGUGGGCGGGCCAGCGUCGGUUUGGGCGGCCGGUCAAAGGCCUCGGGAAUGUAGCCCCUCUCGGGGGGCCUUAUAGCCCGGGGUGCAAUGCGGCCUGCCUGGACCGAGGAACGCGCUUCGGCACGGACGCUGGCAUAAUGGUCGUAAGCGACC
This 635-nucleotide ribosomal RNA is filed under the name Aspergillus stromatoides. Its description in RNAcentral is "eukaryotic LSU rRNA". It matches the Rfam family "Eukaryotic large subunit ribosomal RNA", at positions 1 to 649 of the family's 3401-position model. Lineage: Eukaryota; Fungi; Ascomycota; Eurotiomycetes; Eurotiales; Aspergillaceae. The record is from RNAcentral. RNAcentral also lists the same sequence under 1 other name.